UCAGAACCUCAAUCUCUUCCUGCAAGCCG
RNAcentral lists this small RNA (29 nucleotides) under Bombyx mori (domestic silkworm). Its description in RNAcentral is "ovarian small RNA-25546". Lineage: Eukaryota; Metazoa; Arthropoda; Insecta; Lepidoptera; Bombycidae. The record is from RNAcentral.